Propithecus coquereli (Coquerel's sifaka) is the source of this 642-nucleotide RNA transcript. It is a transcript of the gene named histone deacetylase complex subunit SAP18 pseudogene, with no coding region annotated. The transcript has a single exon. The record is from RefSeq and is a predicted model, not a curated record. NCBI's taxonomy places the organism in Eukaryota, Metazoa, Chordata, Mammalia, Primates, Indriidae.
CAUAGGAGGAAGAUGGUAGUAGAAUCGCGCGUCACCCAGGAGGAAAUUAAAUUAAGAAGGAGCCGGAGAAGCCCAUCGACCGUGAGAAGACCUGCCCGUUGCUGCUCCGGGUCUUCACCACUAAUAACGGCCGCCAUCACCAAAUGGACGAGUUCUCCCGUGCGAACGUACCAUCCAGCGAGCUGCAGAUCUACACUUGGAUGGAUGCAACCUUGAAAGAACUGACUAGUUUAAUAAAAGAAGUCCACCCAGAAGCUAGAAAGAAGGGCACACACUUCAAUUUUGCAAUCAUUUUUACAGAUCUUAAAAGACCUGGCUAUCGAGUUAAGGAGAUUGGUAGCACCAUGUCUGGCAGAAAGGGGACUGAUGAUUCCAUGACCCUGCAGUCGCAGAAGUUCCAAAUAGGAGAUUAUUUGGACAUAGCGAUUACCCCUCCAAAUCGGGCACCACCUCCUUCAGGGUGCAUGAGACCUUAUUAAAUUCUAUUUACUAUUUCCUGAAUUUAUUUUUUGGUCAGUUAUGUAAAAUAAACUUAACAUGUUCUUUUUCCUCCUCUGAUUAUUGCCAUUAAGCCUUUAAAUUCUAAACAAAUUAUAAUGCAUCUAUUUAGGAGUUAGAUUUGGAUGUACUAUGGUAUGAAUA